GGCGUCUCUGGUGGACGCGGUGGUUUCAUGGUGCGGCCUCGCGACAAAUUCGAUCUGAUUUGGAAGAAAAGCAUGAAGAAAUUAAGUAAACAAUGGUCAAGGAUGGUGUUUGAGAUUUUUCUCAACUUUGCAUCCUUGAUCGGACCGCAUUACCAGUUCCAAGGACAGUGUGUUGGAGCAUUGAGGGAGGAAGGACAUUGUCAGCGUUGAAGAUUUGAACCCAUUGCCUGCUUUUAUUUGCAACAGGAGAGAUGCAGUGAGCUGCCAAGAUGGGAAAAGGAGAGUGUGCGUCUCCCUCUCCAAGUCACCGUUGCAGUCGACUGGGGCGCCGUCCUACCGUGCUGUGCCCUGCACUGCUCUCCUCCACGCCUCGCCUCCUCGCCUCGCCUCGCCUCCUCGCCACGCCCUGCCUCGCCUCGCCUCGCCACGCCGUGCCCUACCGCCCUGGCCCGGCGCGGCUGGGGCCGUUGCCAUUCUAAGUCAUCACUAGAAGUGCGUCCAACGUAUGGCCUUUUGUGUUCUUGCCAGUGCGGUUGGCAACUGCGUUUGCUAGUGCGUUUGGCAAAUGGGCAAUUGUUCCAAGUGUCAGUGCUGCCUCAAAAGGUGUGUGAAGUGCGUGUCGUGACCGUGUCACUCGGCCCGCUACACCAGCUCGCCGUCUCCCUCUGGCCGACUCAAGAUUCCAUCAUCUGGCGUGAGUAAAAGUCGACCCGAAGUCGUGAAUGAUGUCGUUUUCAGCCGGAAACUUUCAAAGUGGCGUUGCGUCUGGAGGCGCCAUUGGGAAAGUACACGGUAAAAACGGUUCAUACUUUUGAUUUCCAGGGAGUUCGUAGGAAAAACCAGGGACCGUUUUUACCGUGUGGUUUUGUGUAUCUGCACACAAAAUCUGUGUGUUCUGUACAAAGAAAUAUUUCGCAAUUACAAAGUAUUUUUUAAGUAAACUUAUGUAUGCUCAAAAUACUUAAUUACAACGAGCUGCUUUUCUUUGAUAGGCCUGAAAUAGUUUGUGAGGUUGUUACAUGAAGAAAUAGUUGGUAAUUACAAAGUAUUUUCUUAGUAAGCCAAUGUGUGCUCGAAGUACUUAGUUCUUUCUAACGAACUGCUUUUCUUUGCAAGGCCUCAAAUUGUUAGUAAAGUUUUCUCAGUGAGAUCACUGUUUGUCCUGGGGCAAACUACAAGUAUUUUCCUGUUGGGGCCCCACGCUUCUAGCCUUCGGGCAUGCUGUGGUCAACUCUUGCAGGCGUCGGGCAUUGUGUGGUCGCAAUUCAAAGCGUCAGACACAACUGGUCGACACUUGCAAGCGUAGGACAAACUGGUCCACGCCAACAAGUGUCGUGUUGUCCUAUUCUUAGAUGUGCUGUGUGCCGGGUAUCACGCGAGUGUUAACCCCAACGCGUUUUUGCCGUGUGCACUGUGAAAAUCUGUUGUCACUUUAUGACGAAAACGUGGAUGGUAUUUUCAUCACGUUCAAAUAAUGACAGUCUCAUUACAAAUUGAUGACAUUUUAAUCAAAGCUCCAAUACUUAUUGCAUGGGCGUGACAACAAUGUCAUCAGCUGUUUAAAUGACAUCCUUAAAAGAAAAAUGGGCCUCGAAAUUGUCAUUAAGUAACGACUCAAAUUUUCACAGCGUGCUUACGACUCAAAUCGCGAAAGACUCUUGAUUCCUUUUCCAUUAAGAAGUGCCGCCUUCACUCUCAUUAUAGGAACGUGACAUUACAUUCAAAUGAAUGUGCCAACAUGUCACGUUCCUUUCAGCACUGUGUCGCGUUCGUUUAAAUGUGAAUUAGCUAGUUUGUGGCCGAUUCACAUCCAAACGAAUGUGACUCAACGCUCAAAGGAACGUCACAUUUUGUGACAUUGGUUUCAACAUGAUGUCACGUCGCUCAAACGAGAGUUUUACGUUGCAGUGUUAGAUAUACUAGACAUACAUACUCUAGUAAAACUAAAGCGAAACUCUAUGCGUGAGUCAAGCAUAAAGUUACGCUUGAAGACGUAGUGCUUGAAUCGAGGGGUCGGCAACUCAUAUAUUACUUCGUACGCGGUGGCUAUAUUACCCGUAUAUUACCUGUAC
Molecule: long non-coding RNA, 2072 nt
Organism: Thrips palmi
Lineage: Eukaryota; Metazoa; Arthropoda; Insecta; Thysanoptera; Thripidae
Exons: 3
Source: RefSeq, a predicted model, not a curated record